CAGUCGCCACGGUAAGACGGAGGGUGCUAGCGUUGUUCGGAAUCACUGGGCGUAAAGCGUGCGUAGGCGGUUCGUUAAGUCUGUUGUGAAAGCCCCGGGCUCAACCUGGGAAUGGCAAUGGAUACUGGCGAGCUAGAGUGUGUCAGAGGAUGGUGGAAUUCCCGGUGUAGCGGUGAAAUGCGUAGAGAUCGGGAGGAACAUCAGUGGCGAAGGCGGCCAUCUGGGACAACACUGACGCUGAGGCACGAAAGCGUGGGGAGCAAACAGGAUUAGAGACCCCUGUAGUCCCUGUCUCUUAUAC
This 301-nucleotide ribosomal RNA is filed under the name uncultured bacterium. RNAcentral describes it as "partial 16S ribosomal RNA". It matches the Rfam family "Bacterial small subunit ribosomal RNA", at positions 509 to 807 of the family's 1533-position model. The record is from RNAcentral.